Molecule: non-coding RNA, 133 nt
Filed under: Desulfosporosinus sp.
Lineage: Bacteria; Bacillati; Bacillota; Clostridia; Eubacteriales; Desulfitobacteriaceae
Also listed under: 1 other name
Description: MoCo sequence
Rfam family: Molybdenum/Tungsten riboswitch aptamer (Moco RNA motif)
Source: RNAcentral
UUAAUUGUCUCGCUCCGAAGCUGGAUCCCCUAAAGCCCAUGGCUAUGGUGACCAGACUGGUGUCUUAAAGACACUCGGGUAUUAUGGGAAACUGUAAUAUCUCCUGCUGGAAAGGAGUCUGUCAAACAGGUGG